GAGAAUUCUGGGUUUACUUUAUGUUUGGUUAUACCUCUUUUCUUAUUGAAAUAUAAAGUAGCGUAACGGAAGACGAUUGUGAAAAGAAAAAAAUGUCAUCAAUCCCCCCAUUCUUUUUUGGCCAUAAAAAUUUAAUUAACCAGUGAGGGAGAACGAGUCAAUUAGUUUUUGAGUGUUGAAUCAGUGAUCUAGGGAAGGAUGAUGUCUGUUCCUAGGGACACCCCCGUAAGUGAGGUAAUUUGUUCCUUCACUCCUGCGACGGUCUACCUUAUGCCCUUGGAGCUGUGAGGGGUGACUGGAGAUUGGCCUCACUCCCCGCUCUGUCCCCGCCUCGGCAUCUGACCACCACCUUGACUAUAGCAGGGGCCCAGUAAACGACGGUGAAGUUGCACUGAGUGAGCCGGGGAAAGCUGGUGACCCCACAGCUAAGCCAUGCUCCAGAAAGUGUCUCCAACACCUGCUGAGUGACGCCCAUCCCAGGGAGAAGAAGGCUGCUGGCCUUUGCAUCAUCCGUCUCAGAAUACCGAAAGAAGUUGAUUUUGACAAUUUUUGCCAGUGUUCUCAUGCUUUUAUGAAGGAGUGGGUUUUCAGAGAUUCUUAUUCUUCCAUUCCAGAAGUGCUGCUAAUUCACUUACAUUAAAUGCAUUUAUUUUUA
Long non-coding RNA from Orcinus orca (killer whale), 655 nucleotides. RefSeq lists it as uncharacterized. The transcript is spliced from 3 exons. NCBI's taxonomy places the organism in Eukaryota, Metazoa, Chordata, Mammalia, Artiodactyla, Delphinidae. The record is from RefSeq and is a predicted model, not a curated record.